UUUUCUACACACAGACACACAUGAUCUCUAUUCCAUAGUUGAGUCAGUCCUUUGUGAGAGAUAGAUUUAAACACCUUAUUUGGAGGUGGUUGUUUUAUCAUGCGAUGCGACGUCCACUGACUCAACGUACCAAUGAAAAGGUUGAAUAAGUCUUAAGGAGAUCGUGCGGCACACAAAACUCAAACAGAUUCUUCUACCACUAUUGGUUUGAUAGUUUCUGCUCUUCUUUUCAAUAUUCGAUUGUAUAUUC
RNAcentral lists this long non-coding RNA (250 nucleotides) under Actinidia chinensis (golden kiwifruit). RNAcentral describes it as "long non-coding RNA (ACHI_LNC005104)". The record is from RNAcentral. Lineage: Eukaryota; Viridiplantae; Streptophyta; Magnoliopsida; Ericales; Actinidiaceae.